UACAGAGGGUGCGAGCGUUGUCCGGAAUCACUGGGCGUAAAGGGCGCGUAGGCGGCCUGAUAAGUAGGGGGUGAAAUCCUGUGGCUUAACUGCAGGGCUGCCUCCUAGACUGUUAGGCUCGAGCACGGUAGAGGCAGAUGGAACUCCCGGUGUAGCGGUGGAAUGCGUAGAGAUCGGGAAGAACAUCGGUGGCGAAGGCGGUCUGCUGGGCCGUUGCUGACGCUGAGGCGCGACAGCGUGGGGAGCAAACAGG
This 253-nucleotide ribosomal RNA is filed under the name uncultured bacterium. RNAcentral describes it as "partial 16S ribosomal RNA". It matches the Rfam family "Bacterial small subunit ribosomal RNA", at positions 524 to 776 of the family's 1533-position model. The record is from RNAcentral.